This 461-nucleotide ribosomal RNA is filed under the name uncultured bacterium. RNAcentral describes it as "partial 16S ribosomal RNA". It matches the Rfam family "Bacterial small subunit ribosomal RNA", at positions 338 to 795 of the family's 1533-position model. The record is from RNAcentral.
CCUACGGGAGGCAGCAGUGAGGAAUAUUGGUCAAUGGGCUUACGCCUGAACCAGCCAAGUCGCGUGAGGGAAGACUGCCCUAUGGGUUGUAAACCUCUUUUGUCAGGGAGCAACGCCGGCUACGUGUAGCCGGACUGAGAGUACCUGAAGAAAAAGCAUCGGCUAACUCCGUGCCAGCAGCCGCGGUAAUACGGAGGAUGCGAGCGUUAUCCGGAUUUAUUGGGUUUAAAGGGAGCGUAGAUGGGUUGUUAAGUCAGUUGUGAAAGUUUGCGGCUCAACCGUAAAAUUGCAAUUGAUACUGGCAGCCUUGAGUACAGUUGAGGUAGGCGGAAUUCGUGGUGUAGCGGUGAAAUGCAUAGAUAUCACGCAGAACUCCGAUUGCGAAGGCAGCAUACCGGCGCCCGACUGACGCUGAAGCACGAAAGCGUGGGUAUCGAACAGGAUUAGAUACCCUUGUAGUC